GAUGAACGCUAGCGAUAGGCUUAACACAUGCAAGUCGAGGGGCAGCGAGGUGUAGCAAUACACCGUCGGCGACCGGCGAAUGGGUGCGUAACGCGUAUGCAACUUACCUUUUAGUGGGGGAUAACCCGGUGAAAGCCGGACUAAUACCGCAUAUGCUCCGAAUAUCACAUGAUUUAAGGAGGAAAGAUUUAUUGCUAAGAGAUAGGCAUGCGUUCCAUUAGUUUGUUGGUAAGGUAACGGCUUACCAAGACUACGAUGGUAGGGGGACUGAGAGGUUGACCCCCCACACUGGUACUGAGAUACGGACCAG
This 310-nucleotide ribosomal RNA is filed under the name uncultured bacterium. Its description in RNAcentral is "bacterial SSU rRNA". It matches the Rfam family "Bacterial small subunit ribosomal RNA", at positions 28 to 334 of the family's 1533-position model. The record is from RNAcentral.